Molecule: ribosomal RNA, 1235 nt
Filed under: metagenome
Description: bacterial LSU rRNA
Rfam family: Bacterial large subunit ribosomal RNA
Source: RNAcentral
UGAAUACGAGAUGCUACGGCGUCGAAGCAGUGUAUGUCAGACUUCCAAGAAAAGCUCGCAAUGUCAUAAAUAAAGAAUGCCUGUACCAUAACCGACACAGGUGGGUAGGUAGAGUAUACUAAGGGGCGCGAGAUAACUCUCUCUAAGGAACUCGGCAAAAUAACUCCGUAACUUCGGGAGAAGGAGUGCCUUCUUUAAGAAGGUUGCAAUAACAAGAUCCAAGCAACUGUUUAUCAAAAACACAGGUCUCCGCUAAGUCGUAAGACGAUGUAUGGGGGCUGACGCCUGCCCAGUGCCAGAAGGUUAAAGAAGUUGGUUAGCUUUUGCGAAGCUGAUGACUGAAGCCCUGGUGAACGGCGGCCGUAACGAUAACGGUCCUAAGGUAGCGAAAUUCCUUGUCGGGUAAGUUCCGACCCGCACGAAAGGCGUAAUGAUUUGGAUACUGUCUCGGAGAGGGACUCGGUGAAAUAGACUUGUCUGUGAAGAUGCGGACUACCUGCACCAGGACAGAAAGACCCUAUGAAGCUUUACUGUAACUUGAAAUUGAAAUUGGACUUUAUUCGCGCAGUAUAGGUGGAAGGCGUUGAAAGUAAUCUUGCGGGAUUAGUGGAGCCAUCAGUGAGAUACCACUCCUAUAAUGUUAGAUUUCUAACUUUGGAUCAUGAUCUGGUCAAAGAACAGUUUCAGGCGGGCAGUUUGACUGGGGCGGUCGCCUCCCAAAUGGUAACGGAGGCGUACAAAGGUUUCCUCUGAACGGGUAGAAAUCGUAUCUAGAGUGUAAAGGCAUAAGGAAGCUUGACUGUGAGACCUACAAGUCGAGCAGGGACGAAAGUCGGUCUUAGUGAUCUGACGGUGCUGAGUGGAAAGGCCGUCACUCAACGGAUAAAAGUUACUCUAGGAUAACAGGCUGAUCUCCCCCAAGAGUUCACAUCGACGGGGAGGUUUGGCACCUCGAUGUCGGCUCAUCGCAUCCUGGGGCGGUAGUACGUCCCAAGGGUUGGGCUGUUCGCCCAUGAAAGCGGUACGCGAGCUGGGUUCAGAACGUCGUGAGACAGUUCGGUCCAUAUCCGGUGUAGGCGUUAGAAUAUUGAGAGGAGCCUUCUUUAGUACGAGAGGACCGAGAAGGACAUACCUCUGGUGUACCAGUUAUCGUGCCAACGGUAAACGCUGGGUAGCUAUGUAUGGAGAGGAUAACCGCUGAAAGCAUCUAAGUGGGAAGCCCACCUCAAGAUGAG